Molecule: transfer RNA, 80 nt
Filed under: Taxus sp. 'Qinling type'
Lineage: Eukaryota; Viridiplantae; Streptophyta; Pinopsida; Cupressales; Taxaceae
Description: tRNA-Val
Rfam family: tRNA
About the family: Transfer RNA (tRNA) molecules are approximately 80 nucleotides in length.
Source: RNAcentral
AGGGCUAUAGCUCAGCUUGGUAGAGCACCUCGUUUACAACCGAGAAGGGAAGGUCUACGGUUCGAGCCCGUAUAGUCCUA